RNAcentral lists this long non-coding RNA (740 nucleotides) under Nicotiana benthamiana. Its description in RNAcentral is "long non-coding RNA (NBEN_LNC019960)". Lineage: Eukaryota; Viridiplantae; Streptophyta; Magnoliopsida; Solanales; Solanaceae. The record is from RNAcentral.
GGACUCAGGCUAUGCGCGUUCGACUUUAAAGAUUACAAAGGUUCUACUACGGUUGAACCGGGACUCUGGCUAUGCGCCUUCGACUCCAAAAAUUGCUAAGGUUCAACUACGGUUGAACCGGGACUCAGGCUAUGCGCCUUCGACUUCAAAAAUUGCGAAGGUUCAACUACUGUUGAACCGGGACUCAGGCUAUGCGCUUUCGACUUCAAAGAUUACAAAGGUUCAACUAUGGUUGUGCGCCUUCGACUUCAAAGAUUAAAGGUUCAACUACGGUUGAACCGGGACUGAGACUAAGAGCCCUCAACAAUAACUACGGUUUAACCGGGACUCAGGCUAUGCGCCUUCGUCUUAAAAAAUUGCGAAGGUUCAACUACGGUUGAAUCGGGACUCAGGCUAUGCGCCUUCGACUUCAAAAAUUGCGAAGGUUCAACUACUGUUGAACCGGGACUCAGGCUAUGCGCUUUCGACUUCAAAGAUUACAAAGGUUCAACUAUGGUUGUGCGCCUUCGACUUCAAAGAUUAAAGGUUCAACUACGGUUGAACCGGGACUGAGACUAAGAGCCCUCAACAAAAAUUCAACUACUGGUGAACUAGGACUUAAGCUACACGUCUUCGACACGAAAAUCACAAACUCAACCACGGGCGAAUCAAAUCCAAGAACACACGUCCCCACGGCCGUGAUUCGGGCUGCAAUUAGGCGAGGCUAAACGCCCCCACCAUUCAAGUAAGUACGACUGACU